CCUACGGGUGGCAGCAGUGGGGAAUAUUGGACAAUGGGCGAAAGCCUGAUCCAGCCAUGCCGCGUGUGUGAAGAAGGCCUUCGGGUUGUAAAGCACUUUCAGUGGGGAAGAAAGCCUUGGGGCUAAUACCCUCGAGGAAGGACAUCACCCACAGAAGAAGCACCGGCUAACUCCGUGCCAGCAGCCGCGGUAAUACGGAGGGUGCGAGCGUUAAUCGGAAUUACUGGGCGUAAAGCGCGCGUAGGCGGUCUGAUAAGCCGGUUGUGAAAGCCCCGGGCUCAACCUGGGAACGGCAUCCGGAACUGUCAGGCUAGAGUGCAGGAGAGGAAGGUAGAAUUCCCGGUGUAGCGAUGAAAUGCGUAGAGAUCGGGAGGAAUACCAGUGGCGAAGGCGGCCUUCUGGACUGACACUGACGCUGAGGUGCGAAAGCGUGGGUAGCAAACAGGAUUACAUACCCGUGUAGUC
Molecule: ribosomal RNA, 465 nt
Filed under: Vreelandella stevensii
Lineage: Bacteria; Pseudomonadati; Pseudomonadota; Gammaproteobacteria; Oceanospirillales; Halomonadaceae
Description: partial 16S ribosomal RNA
Rfam family: Bacterial small subunit ribosomal RNA
Source: RNAcentral